This 649-nucleotide ribosomal RNA is filed under the name Vibrio parahaemolyticus. RNAcentral's name for it is "partial 23S ribosomal RNA". It matches the Rfam family "Bacterial large subunit ribosomal RNA", at positions 1 to 696 of the family's 2925-position model. Lineage: Bacteria; Pseudomonadati; Pseudomonadota; Gammaproteobacteria; Vibrionales; Vibrionaceae. The record is from RNAcentral.
GUUGUAUGGUUAAGUGACUAAGCGUACACGGUGGAUGCCUUGGCAGUCAGAGGCGAUGAAAGACGUAGUAACUUGCGAUAAGCCCAGAUUAGGUAGUAACAACCAUUUGAGUCUGGGAUUUCUGAAUGGGGAAACCCACGUGCAUAAGCACGUAUCCUUACCUGAAUACAUAGGGUAAGGAGGCGAACCGGGGGAACUGAAACAUCUAAGUACCCCGAGGAAAAGAAAUCAACCGAGAUUCCGAAAGUAGCGGCGAGCGAAAUUGGACUAGCCCUUAAGCUUUACACGCGUUAGACGAACGGUCUGGAAAGUCCGACGAUACAGGGUGAUAGUCCCGUAGUUGACGACGUGUGUUCAGUGAAAUCGAGUAGGGCGGGACACGUGAUAUCCUGUCUGAAUAUGGGGGGACCAUCCUCCAAGGCUAAAUACUACUGACUGACCGAUAGUGAACCAGUACCGUGAGGGAAAGGCGAAAAGAACCCCUGUGAGGGGAGUGAAAUAGAACCUGAAACCGUGUACGUACAAGCAGUAGGAGCAGGCUUUGUCCUGUGACUGCGUACCUUUUGUAUAAUGGGUCAGCGACUUAUAUUCAGUGGCAAGGUUAACCAUCUAGGGGAGCCGUAGGGAAACCGAGUCUUAACUGGGCGUU